Molecule: non-coding RNA, 1090 nt
Organism: Triticum urartu
Lineage: Eukaryota; Viridiplantae; Streptophyta; Magnoliopsida; Poales; Poaceae
Source: RefSeq, a predicted model, not a curated record
CGCUCGGCUGCAACCCUGGCAUGAUGAUGUAUGGUGGACAUGAAUGAAGACCCGCAUAGCGACCGCGAGCCAAGCUUGGCGAUGUGAUCACGCGGCCUUGCCUGUCACGCAGACGCAGCGAACCAUGCGACCAAGCGGGUUCUAGCCUCCUACUACGCAGGUAGAUGCGAUCAGGCGAAGCGGUGGUGGACUGUUCGUGAGCCAUACCAGUGAAACGGAUUUGCCGGGAUUGAAGGAGGCAAUCAAUUAUCAGUUCAAUGGAGAAUUCAUCGCGGGUGAUGUGCGCCACUCGCCGACGGCAAUUAAUGGAGCUUGGAUUCACUCCAAGGCUGCAACCUGGCAUCAUCUGCUCCAACAUUGUUGUCUGCCGCCGGCACACUCCUUUUUGCCUACGAUAUCCUUCUCUAUGUGCAACGGACGGUGGUUCUGGUUGCAUCCUCAAACAAGGGUGUUGGAUUCAAUGGCUCAAAAGUCCUUACUGUUUUCUUCGGAUCCUCUAUUUGCCAAUAGCCUGUCAGCCAUGAGACCAACUGUGGAUGGUUUACGUCUGUGGAAAAAAUUAUAGGGCUCUAGAAGAAUUGUUUCAGGGUGUUAUGUGAGUAGAAGGAAACUCAGCGACCUUCUUGAUGGUAAUUGUGAACAAACCUUAUAAGGAAGAUAUCUUGUUGCAUAACUUGCAUAAGUUUGGGACAAACUGAAACUUGAGGUGCCUUUUCUACUUUCCUAUCUAUAGCAGAACACAUAGCUGAAACUAUAGGCAAAAAAGGAUUCUCACAACAGAAAUCAUUAACUAUGUACUGACAGAAUUAUAUUUUUCUUCCAAAUUUAUCAAAUUACUUUCCUCUCUGCCCCAGUGUUUUUUUUCUAUAGGCUUUCCAACUAAUGGUUGAUUAGGGGUAAGGAAUCCCACUGCCAAUAAUUAUAUGUUUGGUCCAUAUCUUUUACCUCGUGUAAGGUUGAAAAUCCGCAGGUAGCAUUGGUUGAUGAAACAGACUUGCACUCACCAACUGUCUUAUCAAAUGUCGUGCCAUAUACUCAAAAUUUGUGUCAUGUGAAUUAUCUAAAUAUGGAGUAAAGUUAUCUGAAUAUA